UUUUAUGGAGAGUUUGAUCCUGGCUCAGGAUGAACGCUGGCGGCGUGCCUAAUACAUGCAAGUCGAGCGAACGGACGAGAAGCUUGCUUCUCUGAUGUUAGCGGCGGACGGGUGAGUAACACGUGGAUAACCUACCUAUAAGACUGGGAUAACUUCGGGAAACCGGAGCUAAUACCGGAUAAUAUUUUGAACCGCAUGGUUCAAAAGUGAAAGACGGUCUUGCUGUCACUUAUAGAUGGAUCCGCGCUGCAUUAGCUAGUUGGUAAGGUAACGGCUUACCAAGGCAACGAUGC
RNAcentral lists this ribosomal RNA (293 nucleotides) under Staphylococcus argenteus. RNAcentral's name for it is "partial 16S ribosomal RNA". It matches the Rfam family "Bacterial small subunit ribosomal RNA", at positions 1 to 282 of the family's 1533-position model. The record is from RNAcentral. Lineage: Bacteria; Bacillati; Bacillota; Bacilli; Caryophanales; Staphylococcaceae.